AAAGUCGUAACAAGGUUUCCGUAGGUGAACCUGCGGAAGGAUCAUUAAAUGAAGCAACCUAGGAGCCUGAGACAUGGCUACCAGGCACACCUUCCACCCUUUGUUUAUCACACUCUGUUGCUUUGGCAGGCCUGCCUCUGGGCUGCUGGCUCCGGCCAGCGAGUGCCUGCCAGAGGACCUAAACUCUGUUUGUCUGUAAUGUCUGAGUACUAUAUAAUAGUUAAAACUUUCAACAACGGAUCUCUUGGUUCUG
Molecule: unclassified non-coding RNA, 253 nt
Filed under: Ascomycota sp.
Lineage: Eukaryota; Fungi; Ascomycota
Description: partial contains small subunit ribosomal RNA, internal transcribed spacer 1, and 5.8S ribosomal RNA
Rfam family: Eukaryotic small subunit ribosomal RNA (bases 1-47)
Source: RNAcentral